AGGCAAGCUGAGGACAGAAUUCUGCUGAUUCCCGCUGCCUGCUCAGUGACACAGUCAUGCACAUCUCUUGAAUUUCUUCUCAGCUUUCCUGCCAUCCGUGUGAUUUUGAACAAGGAAUCUUAAUAAUACAAGGGCUUCCAGUCACAUUGCAGUGCAUAGAAAUGCAGCUCCCUGACCAGCUAUUUGGCAGCCAUGAGAUCUCAGAAAGCUGGACCUAGGUAGGUACUCUUUUGAUCACGUGAAAUCUCUAAAUGAGAAACUUUGCUUAUUUCAGUUCAUGGAGGGCUCCCCAGUGAAAAGUGAGCUUACAUUUUUUGUUAUGUAUGUGGACUGAGGCUCCGAGUUAGAUUUAAUCUGAUUGAAAAGAAACAACAACAACAAAAAUGCAGCAAUUCUUGUGUACUCUCAAAGUUGAGUAGUUUUAUUUCUACCACAGACGCA
Molecule: long non-coding RNA, 441 nt
Filed under: Cercocebus atys (sooty mangabey)
Lineage: Eukaryota; Metazoa; Chordata; Mammalia; Primates; Cercopithecidae
Description: lncRNA (ENSCATG00000045433.1)
Source: RNAcentral